RNAcentral lists this ribosomal RNA (119 nucleotides) under Pteropus alecto (black flying fox). The record is from RNAcentral. Lineage: Eukaryota; Metazoa; Chordata; Mammalia; Chiroptera; Pteropodidae.
GUCUAUGGCCAUGCCACCUUGAACAAAUCCGAUCCCAUCUGAUCUCAAAAGAUAAGCAGGGUUGGGCCUGGUUAGUACUUGGAUGGGAGACCACCUAGGAAGACUGGGUGCUGUAGGUG